UUCUGUUUUUUCCUCUUGAUUUCUUUGUUUUCUUUUCAUUUAUUCUUCCUAUCUUUCACAUCAUGCAUCUUGGUCCCUUUUAUUUCCCUGUCCCUGCAUAUCUACCCUCUGCCCUUGCAAUUUAAGAGAAAAAAGAAAAAAAACAAGAAGGAAAAACUCAAUCUCGUCAUGGUAGCUGUAGUGUGAUACAGUGAGUCAUGCAGUAAACCCUUUACCCAUAUAUCUUCACUUGCAAGUGUUCAUUGCAGAGUCAUUGGUAUGGUUUGAGGCCUCUGGUUUCUGCUACACUGUUGAUGCUGGGCCCUGACUGGGACUCAUCUUGGAUAUCUUGUUGUUGCCUUGUGUUGUGGAGAUCCUACAUCUUUGAGUCUGCAGAACUGGCCCCUACACAUGCUCCAGAAGAUCGUAGAUUGGACUGAUGUUGGGUGGGCAUCGAUUGGAGGACUAUGGAACUCCCAUCUCAUUGGAGAUCACAGCUAAAGGAAUUCUUUGAUGAAAUAGUCUGAAGUUACAACCCAAAUGUGUUCCCUUUUGAAGGAGAUUAUGUGAGAAUGUGAUGUAUUAAAUAUUCAUUUUCCAAAUAAAAAAUUUGAAACUCA
Molecule: non-coding RNA, 599 nt
Organism: Cricetulus griseus (Chinese hamster)
Lineage: Eukaryota; Metazoa; Chordata; Mammalia; Rodentia; Cricetidae
Source: RefSeq, a predicted model, not a curated record